CCUAGCCGUAAACAAUUAAUUUACACCAAUAAGCGCCAGGGAAUUACGAGCAAUGCUUAAAACCCAAAGGAUUUGACGGUGUCCCACCCCACUAGAGGAGCCUGUUCUAUAAUCGAUGAUCCCCGAUAUACCCGACCAUUUCUCGCUUAUCAGUCUGUAUACCUCCGUCGAAAGCUUACCAUGUGAACGCCUGCAGUAGGCUUAAUGACCUAACACGUCAGUACGUCAGGUCAAGGUGCAGCUUAAGAAAUGGGAAGUAAUGGGCUACAAUUUCUAACUUAGAACAAACGAAAGACUGUAUGAAAUUACAAUCAUGAAGGUGGAUUUAGUAGUAAAAAGAAAGUAGAGUGUUCUUUUUAACCCGGCUCUGGGACGCGUAC
The sequence is a ribosomal RNA, 380 nucleotides long. It matches the Rfam family "Bacterial small subunit ribosomal RNA", at positions 795 to 1386 of the family's 1533-position model.